CACGCCGUAAACUAUGAUCACUGGAUGUUAGCGAUACACAGCUAGCGUCUGAGUAAAAGCAUUAAGUGAUCCACCUGGGGAGUACNGAUACGCGAGGAACCUUACCCGGGCUCGAACGUGAGAGGAAUAUAGAGGAAACUUUAUAGCCAGCAAUGGCCGCUUACGAGGUGC
RNAcentral lists this ribosomal RNA (171 nucleotides) under uncultured bacterium. Its description in RNAcentral is "partial 16S ribosomal RNA". The record is from RNAcentral.